GAAAAGCUCACCGGCGGUGAUCGGAAGGUCGAGAUCGCACGGCAAUGGCGGCGGAGAAGAGCCGGAUCCUGAUCAUCGGGGGAACGGGGUACAUCGGGAGGUACGUGGUGGGGGCGAGCGCGCGGCUGGGUCACCGCACCUUCGCCCUGGUGAGAGACACCGCGCCCGCCGACCCGGCCAAGGCCCAGCUCCUCCAAGGGUUCACGGACUCCGGGGUCACCCUCCUCAAGGUCAUCCCCAAACCCUAACCCUAACCCUAAUCCUAACCCCAAUAGGGUUGUGGGAUUUGAUUCAAUUUUGUGUGUGCGCAUUUCGGGAAUGGGGUGGUGAAAUGUGUCGAAGUGCAUGGAUGGUGCUUUUAGUAAGAUCCAUUACUUUCCAGGGUUUUGGGGAUUUUGAUUUGUUUGUGGUCGUGUUGUUUAAUUUUAGGGUUUUUGAUUCAUAAAUUGCAAUGCGGUCCCUGUUCCGACAAAAAAAAAAGAUUUUUUUCUUGUAAUAGUAUCACUUUUUACACAAUCUCAGUUAAAAGAAUGAUUUAGAGCAUAAAAUUAUUUGUUCUUAAAUUUUUUUAGCAGUGAUAGGGAGCGCAUUGCAAAAUAUGAGAUAAUUCAGGACAAAGUUGCAAUAUUGUACUAUCGAUCUGUAGCAUUGCUCUAAUCUUUUUGUCGGGUAAAAUGUUUGGCAAUUUUUAUUACUUCGUGGAUCUACAUUUGUGCCCCUUAACUUUCUUAUGUUUUAGCUUUUAGUCCCUGAUCAUAAAAAAAUAUAUAUGGUGGUUUAAUUAGGGAGAUCUCUACGACCACGCGAGCUUGGUGAACGCAAUCAAGAACGUGGAUGUGGUGAUCUCGACCGUCGGAUUCUUUCAACUGGCCGAUCAGACGAAGAUCAUCGCCGCGAUCAAGGAGGCCGGUAACAUCAAGGUCGAAUUUUUAGCCCCCGUUUAUCGCUCUCUUUCACAUUUUUAGGAUCUUAAUAAUCUCGUAAAAUUGUAUGGAAUUUAUCUGAACUAUGACCUGUUUUGAUACACGUACGCAACUUUUUAAAAAUUUUCAUUUCGCUACCUAACUUUUUUUAAGUAAUUUGAUUUUGAAUGUGUUGUUUAUUUUCAUUAAAGCAAGCAGUACUCCUAAAUAUUAUAAAAAAAAGCCACCAAAAUGGCUUAAUUAAAGAAAAUGAGGUUCCAAAAUCAAAUUUGAUAGAAUUAUUGUUUAAAUUGAUGAUGAAGAUGAGUUAUUCUAGUUAGUUAAGUUAAAAUUUUUGUUAGAUUAAAUAUUGGGCUUUUCUUGCAUUUAGCCCCUCAAAACAUUUUUUUUUUACCACUAGCAAAUCUAUAUUUACAUAUAUAGUUCUCUUCUUGCCGGGCCAUAUUAGCAUUUUCAAGUUAAAUAUGGUGAUUGAUUUACCGUGUUUAUAUUCACACUAUAGUCCCUUUUUUUAACUUAUGGUCAAUAAAAAAAUAUAAACAGAAAUAGGUGAUCCAAUCACUAUGUGUAAACACUGAUUGAAUCAUUGUGUUGAACUUAAAAAUACAAUCCAGAUGCUUGAGUGGCAAGAAGAGCUCUAUUUAUGCAAAUAUAAAUAUAUUAGGGUCAUUUGUAAAUUUUUUUUGAAGGGGGCUAAAUAUAAAAAAGCCCUUAAAUAUCUCUACUAUUAAUUAUUAGGAAUAAUUUCAUAGAUGCCCUUUUAAAAACUAUUAAUUUCAUCAAUACCCUUCUANGUGUUUGGUUGGAGUAGGUGGGAUAAGAAGAUAAUGAUUGAUAAAGAAGCAUAAUGAUUGGUUGGAAUAGGUGUGAUAAGAAAGAUAGUGAGUUAUUAUGAAUAGAAAAAAGUGUUUGGUUGGAGUUUGAUGGGGUUAGAUAGGGUUAGCUAACCCGGGAUAAUUUAUUUGAGGUGGGGUUAGGUGGAAUUAGCUAAACCCACCUAUUUUUUUGGGUGUUUGGAAAUAAAAUGGGGGUUAAGGAGUUUUUCCACCCUUUAACCCCCAAUCAAACGAGAGCUUAGAAAACCAGGUGGGAGGCGGUGAGCUUACCCUUACGGUGACAGCAUCCACUCCUUUGUUACGAUAAAAGGUGUCGUCACCGCCCCAUUACACAAAAACACACACACUCUCUCUCUCUCUGUGAAACCCUAGACCCUCCUCUCCGUUCUCUCCUACGCGUACCGGGAAAAGCUCACCGGCGGUGAUCGGAAGGUCGAGAUCGCACGGCAAUGGCGGCGGAGAAGAGCCGGAUCCUGAUCAUCGGGGGGACGGGGUACAUCGGGAGGUACGUGGUGGGGGCGAGCGCGCGGCUGGGUCACCGCACCUUCGCCCUGGUGAGAGACACCGCCCCCGCCGACCCCGCCAAGGCCCAGCUCCUCCAAGGGUUCACGGACUCCGGGGUCACCCUCGUCAAGGUCA
Molecule: long non-coding RNA, 2398 nt
Filed under: Ananas comosus (pineapple)
Lineage: Eukaryota; Viridiplantae; Streptophyta; Magnoliopsida; Poales; Bromeliaceae
Description: long non-coding RNA (ACOM_LNC017230)
Source: RNAcentral